RNAcentral lists this ribosomal RNA (1337 nucleotides) under uncultured marine cyanobacterium. RNAcentral describes it as "partial 16S ribosomal RNA". It matches the Rfam family "Bacterial small subunit ribosomal RNA". Lineage: Bacteria; Bacillati; Cyanobacteriota. The record is from RNAcentral.
GAGUUUGAUCCUGGCUCAGGAUGAACGCUGGCGGCGUGCUUAACACAUGCAAGUCGAACGAACCUUCGGGUUAGUGGCGGACGGGUGAGUAACGCGUGGGAAUCUGCCCUCAGGAGGGGGAUAACGGUUGGAAACGACCGCUAAUACCCCAUAUGCCGAGAGGUGAAAUGAAUUUCGCCUGAGGAUGAGCCCGCGUCUGAUUAGCUUGUUGGUGAGGUAAUGGCUCCAAGGCUUCGAUCAGUAGCUGGUCUGAGAGGAUGAUCAGCCACACUGGGACUGAGACACGGCCCAGACUCCUACGGGAGGCAGCAGUGGGGAAUUUUCCGCAAUGGGCGAAAGCCUGACGGAGCAACGCCGCGUGAGGGACGAAGGCCUCUGGGCUGUAAACCUCUUUUCUCAAGGAAGAAGAUGUGACGGUACUUGAGGAAUAAGCCACGGCUAAUUCCGUGCCAGCAGCCGCGGUAAUACGGGAGUGGCAAGCGUUAUCCGGAAUUAUUGGGCGUAAAGCGUCCGCAGGCGGCCUUUCAAGUCUGCUGUUAAAACGUGGAGCUUAACUCCAUCAUGGCAGUGGAAACUGAUUGGCUUGAGUAUGGUAGGGGCAGAGGAAAUUCCCGGUGUAGCGGUGAAAUGCGUAGAUAUCGGGAAGAACACCAGUGGCGAAGGCGCUCUGCUGGGCCAUUACUGACGCUCAUGGACGAAAGCCAGGGGAGCGAAAGGGAUUAGAUACCCCUGUAGUCCUGGCCGUAAACGAUGAACACUAGGUGUCGGGGGAAUCGACCCCUUCGGUGUCGUAGCUAACGCGAUAAGUGUUCCGCCUGGGGAGUACGCACGCAAGUGUGAAACUCAAAGGAAUUGACGGGGGCCCGCACAAGCGGUGGAGUAUGUGGUUUAAUUCGAUGCAACGCGAAGAACCUUACCAGGGCUUGACAUCCUGCGAACCUUUAAGAAAUUAGAGGGUGCCUUCGGGAACGCAGUGACAGGUGGUGCAUGGCUGUCGUCAGCUCGUGUCGUGAGAUGUUGGGUUAAGUCCCGCAACGAGCGCAACCCUUAUUUUUAGUUGCUAAUUUAUUAGGUUUUCUAGAAAGACUGCCGGUGACAAACCGGAGGAAGGUGAGGAUGACGUCAAGUCAGCAUGCCCCUUAUGCCUUGGGCUACACACGUGCUACAAUGGUUAAGACAAAGAGUUGCGAGCUCGCGAGAGUCAGCUAAUCUCAUAAACUUAGCCUAAGUUCGGAUUGUAGGCUGCAACUCGCCUACAUGAAGUCGGAAUCGCUAGUAAUCGCUGGUCAGCCAUACAGCGGUGAAUCCGUUCCCGGGCCUUGCACACACCGCCCGUC